GACGAGCCUCACAAACGUUAUUCGGAAUUACUGGGCUUAAAGGGUGCGUAGGCGGCGCGGAAAGUUGGGUGUGAAAUCCCUCGGCUCAACCGAGGAACAGCGCCCAAAACUACCGUGCUCGAGGGAGAUAGAGGAGUGCGGAACUUAGGGUGGAGCGGUGAAAUGCGUUGAUAUCCUAGGGAACACCGGUGGCGAAAGCGGCACUCUGGAUCUCUUCUGACGCUGAGGCACGAAAGCUAGGGUAGCGAACGGG
This 253-nucleotide ribosomal RNA is filed under the name uncultured bacterium. RNAcentral describes it as "partial 16S ribosomal RNA". It matches the Rfam family "Bacterial small subunit ribosomal RNA", at positions 524 to 776 of the family's 1533-position model. The record is from RNAcentral.